Molecule: ribosomal RNA, 487 nt
Filed under: uncultured Sphingobacteriales bacterium
Lineage: Bacteria; Pseudomonadati; Bacteroidota; Sphingobacteriia; Sphingobacteriales
Description: bacterial SSU rRNA
Rfam family: Bacterial small subunit ribosomal RNA
Source: RNAcentral
AACUCAAAGGGAAUUGACGGGGGCCCGGCACAAGCGGAGGAGCAUGUGGUUUAAUUCGAUGAUACACGAGGAACCUUACCUGGGCUCGAACGUAAGAUGACUGUAGGUGAAAGCUUACAUCUCUUCGGAGCAUUUUACGAGGUGCUGCAUGGUUGUCGUCAGCUCGUGCCGUGAGGUGUCGGGUUAAGUCCCAUAACGAGCGCAACCCCUACCUUUAGUUGCCAUCAGGUUAAGCUGGGGACUCUAAAGGAACUGCCUACGCAAGUAGUGAGGAAGGCGGGGAUGACGUCAAAUCAGCACGGCCCUUACGUCCGGGGCUACACACGUGCUACAAUGGCCGGUACAAAGGGUUGCGAAGCCGUGAGGUGGAGCGAAUCUCAAAAAGCCGGCCUCAGUUCGGAUUGGAGGCUGCAACUCGCCUCCAUGAAGUCGGAAUCGCUAGUAACCGCAGAUCAGCUACGUUGCGGUGAAUACGUUCCCGGGCCUU